Molecule: ribosomal RNA, 399 nt
Filed under: uncultured bacterium
Lineage: Bacteria
Description: bacterial SSU rRNA
Rfam family: Bacterial small subunit ribosomal RNA
Source: RNAcentral
GGAAUAUUGGGCAAUGGGCGAAAGCCUGACCCAGCAACGCCGCGUGAAGGAAGAAGGUUUUCGGAUCGUAAACUUCUGUCCUAUAUGAAGAUCGUGACGGUAGUAUAGGAGGAAGCCCCGGCUAACUACGUGCCAGCAGCCGCGGUAAUACGUAGGGGGCGAGCGUUGUCCGGAAUGAUUGGGCGUAAAGGGCGCGUAGGCGGCCCGGUAAGUCUGGAGUGAAAGUCCUGCUUUUAAGGUGGGAAUUGCUUUGGAUACUGUUGGGCUUGAGUGUAGGAGAGGUUAUCGGAAUUCCCGGUGUAGCGGUGAAAUGCGUAGAGAGCGGGAGGAACACCAGUGGCGAAGGCGGGUAACUGGACUGCAACUGACGCUGAGGCGCGAAAGUGUGGGGAGCAAACA